Triticum dicoccoides is the source of this 1864-nucleotide long non-coding RNA. RefSeq lists it as uncharacterized. The transcript has 4 exons. Lineage: Eukaryota; Viridiplantae; Streptophyta; Magnoliopsida; Poales; Poaceae. The record is from RefSeq and is a predicted model, not a curated record.
CCAUGCCCCCAUCUCUCGGAACCCCUUCAUCCCGAUCGCAUCUUUCUCCUUGGAAAAAUUGCCAUCGCGCGCCCACCAUCCUGUGCACGCCAUUUCGUCGGUCUAGAUCCUGAUCCAUCGCGAGGAGCCAUUCCUCAAACUGCAGCGCCACGGCCGAGCCAUCUCACAAGGAGGCAAGACGCCGUCUCACCUCCUCGCCUUGCUGCGGCCAUCCAGGACGCGCCGCCCCCGCUGCUGAGCCAUCUCACCUGGCACCGCCGUCCCCAAGCAGGCAAGCUGCCGUCUCACCUCCUUCGUCCCGGACGCACUGCCGCCACAAUCGGCCCAUCUCACUUCGCAUCGUCAUCGCCAAACAGGCAAGCCGUCGUCUCACCUCCACCCUCGUCUCUAUUGUGGGCGGCCCCGCCCCUGUACAGCAGCAGACGAAGCGGGCGUGCAGGCUGGAGUUGGAGGCUGCACUGCUGUGUUUGCCGGUAGGAAGCACGGGAGGCGGGUGGCCAUGGAGAACGGCCACACUGUUCAAGCGCCGGACUCUGCUGUCGACCUCCUCAUCUUCAAGCCCCACCCCGAGCUCGACCCUCCACAGCCAUCUCGUUCUAUGUUCAAGCACCGCCUGGAUAUCAUUUUCUCCUCCCUACAGCCAGCUCCCCCCUGAUCUCCUGCGCAACAUGCUGCUCCAUGCAUUGGCAGCUAUAAAAGCCCUAGCGAUGGAUUCGAACACCGGCAGCCAUGUGAGCGCCCAUAGCUGUGGACGUGGACGCUUGCGGCGAGAGACGCAGAGCAGGAGCACACUGCUUGCCCUUUAUUGAGUUAACCAUGGUGACAGCUCCGGUGGUGUCAUCCUCCCUAGAUCUGCAUGGCAAUGGUGUCAUCAAUUGUAGUGAUAGAUGUAUUGACACUAAUUGUUUUGCAAAUGGGGAGGAUAUAGGUUGUAAAAGAGCCUUUAUUUUGUUCUUCUUAUCUAGGACAGGAGAAGUUAAUUCUCACUUGUUUAACUUACUGGUUCAUAUUUCCAUUAGGCAAAGUGGCUUGAAAAUAGACUGCCUUUACUCUUUCUAUGAGACAUAGGGCCGCAAAUUAAAACAAAAAAGAGGAUCCAGCCAAUUUAUUUUUCAUUUUUUCUUUGAGAUAAUAAUAUCCUACAUGCUCUACUGGGUCAUCUUCACACUACAGGUUGUUUCAGCUAAUGGUUAUCACUGAGGUCCUGCUGCUAGCUAUGCAAUCCAAUGAUGGUCAGAUACGAAAUGUUGUAGAAUGAAAUAUCCAACACUUUGAGGAGUAGAGUUUUUCAGUUUAUGCAAGCACUUCAUCUUCUUCAUUAGAGACCCUAAAGGUCCACUCGCAUAGGCUACAUUCAGCAGUUCCCAUGUGUGCACUUGCAUACAUGUGUAUGCAGUGCUAAUUUUUUAUCAGAUUGGCAGAGGCUUCAGGAUAUACAUAUGCGUCUUUCCACCUAAAUGUUCUCAUGCUUGGAACAUGAACUACUGAAGUUUAUGAAAAUUUUGUAUGUGAAGACUCAGGCUGGAGUGUAGUGUUAAACAUUGGAGUGAGAGGAGAGUAUAAGGGCAAAGAUGGAUCAGGAGCCUGGCCAGAUGGUUUGUGACCCAGCUAAGGCACGUACAAAAGAUUGCAUUGGAAUGUGGUGCUAGCUUAGGUGAUCUGCUUUUUGAGGAUAAAUUUCCAUGUGGGUUUGAGGGAUUAAUUUAAUAAUAAAGAUUUGUAGGGAUCUAUUGUGAUCAUGACUGCAUUGUGGAUACCAUAGCAAACAACUUGUGAGAUUCAGGAAUUGUCAUUAGGUUUGAUCUAAUUGGUUGUUGUACCAAACAAUUCAUGUUGUUUAAUCCUUUUCAAUUCUUGUGGCAUA